AGGGAAUAUUGGUCAGUGGAUGGAAGUCUGAACCAGCCAUGCCGCGUGCAGGAAGAAGGCCUUCUGGGUUGUAAACUGCUUUUGCCGGGGGAUAAAAUUCCCAUGCGUGGGACAUUGAAGGUACCCGGUGAAUAAGCCACGGCUAACUACGUGCCAGCAGCCGCGGUAAUACGUAGGUGGCAAGCGUUGUCCGGAAUCAUUGGGCGUAAAGGGCGCGUAGGUGGCCCGGUCAGUCUUUGGUGAAAGCGCGGGGCUCAACCCUGCGUCGGCCAGGGAUACUGCCGCGGCUCGAGCACUGUAGAGGCAGGCGGAAUUCCGGGUGUAGCGGUGGAAUGCGUAGAGAUCCGGAAGAACACCGGUGGCGAAGGCGGCCUGCUGGGCAGUUUGGCUGACACUGAGGCGCGACAGCGUGGGGAGCAAA
This 421-nucleotide ribosomal RNA is filed under the name uncultured bacterium. RNAcentral's name for it is "bacterial SSU rRNA". It matches the Rfam family "Bacterial small subunit ribosomal RNA", at positions 356 to 772 of the family's 1533-position model. The record is from RNAcentral.